This 254-nucleotide ribosomal RNA is filed under the name uncultured bacterium. Its description in RNAcentral is "partial 16S ribosomal RNA". It matches the Rfam family "Bacterial small subunit ribosomal RNA", at positions 524 to 776 of the family's 1533-position model. The record is from RNAcentral.
UACGGGGGGAGCAAGCGUUGUUCGGAUUUACUGGGCGUAAAGGGCGCGUAGGCGGUCGUGACAAGUCACUUGUGAAAUCUCCGGGCUUAACUCGGAACGGUCAAGUGAUACUGUCGGACUAGAGUACAGAAGGGGCAACUGGAAUUCUCGGUGUAGCGGUGAAAUGCGUAGAUAUCGAGAGGAACACCUGCGGCGAAGGCGGGUUGCUGGGCCGACACUGACGCUGAUGCGCGAAAGCGUGGGGAGCGAACAGG